UACGUAGGUGGCGAGCGUUGUCCGGAAUCAUUGGGCGUAAAGCGCGCGUAGGCGGCCCUGUAAGUCCGUUGUGAAAGUCAAAGGCUCAACCUUUGAAAGCCGAUGGAUACUGCAGGGCUAGAGUCCGGAAGAGGCGAGUGGAAUUCCUGGUGUAGCGGUGGAAUGCGCAGAUAUCAGGAGGAACACCAAUAGCGAAGGCAGCUCGCUGGGACGGUACUGACGCUGAGGAGCGAAAGCGUGGGGAGCGAACAGG
RNAcentral lists this ribosomal RNA (253 nucleotides) under uncultured bacterium. RNAcentral describes it as "partial 16S ribosomal RNA". It matches the Rfam family "Bacterial small subunit ribosomal RNA", at positions 524 to 776 of the family's 1533-position model. The record is from RNAcentral.